AAGUAUCAUGAUCAGGUAAGACAAGUUUUACUGCGAAUUUCUUGAUUUUUUGAAUUUUUGUUUUCAGAUUUUUAAUAUUAUUGGCAUUUUGUGCAUCUGCCUAUUGCGCGGAUCAUAAUUUAUUUAAAAAUUGUACAAGAAUUCCGUUUUGUGCCAAAUUGAGAAAUCAAACUCUUGAUGACGAUUCCCAAUUUGCAGCCGUUUUGACGAAUUUUAAAAAAAUCGGAGAGGUGGCAUAUAUACCUUUAAUUAACGGAAAAAAUGAGUCGUUACAGUUGCAAAUUUCGUUAUUGACAGGGGACCAGGUGAGGCUAGAAAUAGCAGAAGUGAACAACUCGAGAUACAAACUUGUAGAUGCUUUAGAUGGAGAACCAGAACUCAUAUUUAUCAAUAAUAUGAGGAUAACAGGCGAUUCUAUAAUAUUAUCCAAUAGUUUAUCCAACGUUCAAGUAAGAGUGCAAAAAGGCCCCCCAUUUGUAGUGGUUCUUUCUUUCAGUGGAAACUUACAAAUGCUGUUAAAAGGGAAUCGGCUGGUCAU
Molecule: long non-coding RNA, 538 nt
Organism: Anoplophora glabripennis (Asian longhorned beetle)
Lineage: Eukaryota; Metazoa; Arthropoda; Insecta; Coleoptera; Cerambycidae
Exons: 3
Source: RefSeq, a predicted model, not a curated record